CUUUAUUAACUCUGCCAAAUUUUCCAAAAUUACCAAAUGGAGAAAAGAGCUGGUCCCAUCUGUCACCAGGCACAACCAGCGCGAUACCUGACUUUCACCAUGAUGAAUGGAGACAGGAUGGGGUCUGAAUGCUAGUCUUCAAUGCACCAUACAACAGUGCUAGACCCUCAUCAGUAUGAAGGGGAACAAAGCCCUCCUUAAAAGAUUUACUAGAGUUAACACCUGGGGAUCCUCAAGAAAUGAAUGCUAUCAUUGUUCUGCUUCAGAAGGUAGAAAUACAGGGAAUACACUUCAGAUAGGUUAAGAUAAAAAGUUUUGUGUUUAAGGCAGCACCUCAGUUGCCUGGAAAAUUCACUUCUGUAUAAUGCCUAAUUUGUUAAUGAUGCCGUGAAUAGAUGCUUUCUAAUAACUACACAAGUUUGUUUUUAUGAAAAAGUAGAGUAACAUGUCCUCUGAUGUUAGUAGUAGGAGAGUUUGAAUAAAGGACUUUAAACAAAUGAAGCAUAUAAUCCUCUCUCUUUAUUAGAAUGAUGAAGAGUGGGGGUGUUGUCUGUUUAUACAGUUAUCACCUAGGAGUCAUAUCAAGAUUCUUUUCCUAAUCUCAGUGAAGAGGUUAAAAAAAAGUUUAAAGAUUAGAGAUUUAGUAGAAUUGUCUUGUAGCACCUUUUUAAAAUAAAAUUUUUAAACGUAUCUUUUCAGACCGGGCGCUGUGGCUCAAGCCUGUAAUCCCAGCACUUUCAGAAGCUGAAGCAGGUGCAUCAUUUGACGUCAGGAGUUUGAGAUCAGCCUGGCCAACAUGGUGAAACCCCGUCUCUACUAAAAAUACAAAAAUUAGCUGGGUGUGGUGGCAGGAGCCUGUAAUCCCAGCUACUCAGUAGGCUGAGACAGGAGGAUUGCUUGAGUCCGAGAGGCAGAGGUUGCAGUGAGCCGAUAUCACGCCACUGCACUCCAGCCAGGGCAACACAGUGAGCCUCCGUCUCAAAAAACAAACAAAUUUUAACAUAUCUUUUCACAAAAUCAAUCACCAGCCAAAUGUGUAAAACUAUGUAAGAACUUUUCCUUCUUGACCCCAACAAAUGGGGCAUUUCCAUCUGUUCCGCUAUGGCUGAUUUCAGAUGCUCCUACAAAACAGGGAAUCCAGCUGUGACAUAUUUUAAAUAUCAUUACUGAUAGACACCUGCUUAUUUCACAUAGAUUCAGUUUUCAAUCUUAUGUGAGAAAACUGCAAAAGAUGUUAAAAUAAUGGAAUAAAAAACAGGCCAAGAGAGCCUAUAACAUUUGCCAACAGUUAAAAGGAUACGUCACCAAAUUAGUAUGUGAGAAAAUAGGUAAAAUUCAAUUUCUUUAUCUUAUACAUACCAGGAGGUAGCAAUUACAAAGAAUAGUGAAUCACAUUUAUUUUAUAGAACACAAUUAUAACUUAGCACCAAUAGCUGUUCAAUUCUUUGAGCUUUUUAAAGCAUCAUAAAAUGUGUUAAUAGCUGAGUUUGUUACCUUAAAUACUAUGACUUUCAAAAGUUAAACUGAAAUUUGAUAAGUACUGCAAUUUAUUUUAUAU
This 1558-nucleotide long non-coding RNA is filed under the name Homo sapiens (human). RNAcentral describes it as "HSALNT0207523". Lineage: Eukaryota; Metazoa; Chordata; Mammalia; Primates; Hominidae. The record is from RNAcentral.